UGUUUUCUUUCAGCAAAGAAUAACAUAUUGAAAUUACAACUAAUAUCUAUAUCUGGAACUGAUGAAAUUCGGGGGAAACAUGGAAUCGGUUUGUUAAGAUGCCUUAUUUAGAUUAGAAACUAAUAAAAACCAUCCUUGUACAUCCAAAAAAAAAAAAAUCCUUAUUUAUCCUUGUGCGUCCGGGUACAAUAAUCCUCCAGCAAUUUUAACACCUACAAUAUAAUGAUAUAUAUAAUGUAAAUAUCAAUUUCCUUAUCGAAAUUAAAUUAUGCCGAUCGAAAGUUAAAUAUAAUAAAAUAAAUAAAUUUGAUGCAAGAAACACUUUUUAAUAAUAAUAUACAAAUAAAUAAUGUUUGAUAUGCAACUAGACUAUAAUCUGGAUAUCGCCCAAAUUAGCAUUAUAAUUUAAUCGCCUCAUACGCCACUUAAAACAAAUUGCCCCAAUUGACACAUAGUAAAGAAUCUCCCGUUUGGCACCAAUAACAACAACUAUAUGUCACGCUAUGCAUACUAUACAGACUUUCUUUUAAAAUCAUCACUAUUUUCACCAACUCAAUUGAAAAUUUAAAACUCCACAUCAAUUUAUAAAAAACCAAUAGAAUACUCAAAUCUACAAUCAACCAUAAAAAAAAAUCAUAGAAUUAAAUAUACAAUAUAUUACACACAUAACUCAAAAUAUAUUAAAAUAGCAUAAAAUGUUAUAAAAAAAGUUCUUUGUCAUUGCUUCUUAACAAUUAAAUACUCCAUUAUUAAUUAAAUCAUAGUGGGAUCAAUUGAUCAGUUAAUUAAGAUAAAUAAAACUAAGGUGUCUAAUUUAUUAAUUAAAGAAAAAGAGUGUUACCAUUUUCUUAAAUUCUCUACACAUAGAUCGAUAAAAAAAUAAAAAAAUCAAGAAAAUAAUAAGAAGGACAUAUAAAAUGUUGGGAUGUUACAUUAUUAACACCUUAUAAUAGUUUCAUCCUCAAAACUAGAAGUUCGAAAAGAUAUUUAGGAUAGAGUUCCGUCACUAACUAAAAUUAUAGGGUAAGAGAAUCACUUUCAAAAAGAUGAAGUUAAAGUAGUUUGACACAUAAAUAAAAUAUUAUCUAUAUAUUAAAAUAAAAUUCCCAAGUCUUACAUUCAAUCACCAAAAAUUUAGUUUCGACUUCGAAGUUAGACAAUAAAAAAAUAUUUGAGGUAGAUUUUUAAAAGCUCUUUAUGUAAGAUAUUCCUUGAAAUAAAUAUCAACAUGAUAAGAAAUUUUAAGAAUGAAUUAAAAAGUCAUGUUUCUUGACAAAAAAAA
RNAcentral lists this long non-coding RNA (1282 nucleotides) under Trifolium pratense (red clover). RNAcentral describes it as "long non-coding RNA (TPRA_LNC013606)". Lineage: Eukaryota; Viridiplantae; Streptophyta; Magnoliopsida; Fabales; Fabaceae. The record is from RNAcentral.